This 399-nucleotide long non-coding RNA is filed under the name Mytilus galloprovincialis (Mediterranean mussel). The record is from RNAcentral. Lineage: Eukaryota; Metazoa; Mollusca; Bivalvia; Mytilida; Mytilidae.
UGAGAAUCUUUUUGAAAAGAUUUGUGAAGACAUCAGUCAUUUUUGCUCACACAGAUGUAACACAAGUUCCAUAUGAUGUUGGUGACCAUUUCCUUCCUUAUGAUAAACUUGUUGUAGGACUGCCAUGCAGAGGUUACAUUGCAGACCACCAAGAUGAAAUUGGUGUUGAAACAGAAAAGAAAUUGUACAGGUUGGUAUUACUUCUUGUUGUCAGUUGUUGUUGAGGUUGGUAAUACUUGUACUUUAUAAAGGUAUAUUAAAAUAUGUCAUAUGUAAAGUGUACAUGAUCAAUAACACAAAUUUAUCUUUAUAUUUUUCAGAACAGCCAGAAACUUUUAAAUAAAGAUAGUAUCAAAGAUGAUUGAUAAGUUUCCCUUCUCGGACACCACUUUGCAGGAC